Tupaia belangeri chinensis (Chinese tree shrew) is the source of this 762-nucleotide long non-coding RNA. RefSeq lists it as uncharacterized. NCBI's taxonomy places the organism in Eukaryota, Metazoa, Chordata, Mammalia, Scandentia, Tupaiidae. The transcript has 3 exons. The record is from RefSeq and is a predicted model, not a curated record.
AAAUGAUACUGUCUUUUGGCUUGUGGCUUAUUUGUCAGAACUGGUCACAUGACCCUGCCUAACGGAUAAUUGAAGCUAUCUGCAUAGGUUGGUUCACUGCCGAGUGCAUCGUGAGGUUCAUUGUCUCCAAAAACAAGUGUUGGCUAUGACUCUACCACAUCCUCUUCAGUUUUGGAUCCGGGAUGAAGGAGCUAUCCUUAUCUGGGAUGUUGUCGUUCUUAUGUCAAAGAAAAUGAGAAGACAGUGGAAGCAUGAGACUCUUAAAGUUUCUGCCAAAGCAUCACACUUCAUUUUUAUUUUACGUUUUGUUGACAUAGUUUAUCACAUGACUUAGCCUGACAUUAUUGGGGUGAGAAAAUGUAAGAGGCAGUAACGACUGGGUUGUUGGAAAAGUCAUGACACAUUUUUCUAUUUUUUACAUAGAAAAAUGUAUUAUGGCUUCCAGUGACCCCUAUUUGGGAACUAUACUCUAGGACUGCAGUCAGAAAUGUUAUACUUGCCUGUAGUCAAGGCGGAAAGGAAGCACGUAUACAUGUGAGACUUUUCUGUGAGCUGAUGCAGGGUCUGGAAUCACACUGUCUAAAUGAGGCAAGAGCUUUGAGCCUUAAUUUGAGGCUUAUCUCAUAUCCCAGCACCUGCCUAGGCUGAAUUACAGACCAGAGAAACCAUUUGACAGGAAAGAACGCAGAAGGAUAAAGCUCCCUAGAUAAGCUCUUAAACAUAAAUUACAAAGCACUUGAAGUGGCCUAGCCCUAUAAGCGA